Molecule: long non-coding RNA, 1501 nt
Organism: Lycium barbarum (goji berry)
Lineage: Eukaryota; Viridiplantae; Streptophyta; Magnoliopsida; Solanales; Solanaceae
Exons: 2
Source: RefSeq, a predicted model, not a curated record
UCCAUUUGCCUUUAAUGGUGCCAUUCAAUUUUGAAAUUUUAGGUACCAAAGAGAUGCCAAGUUGCCAACCACGCUUGAAGACUUCCACCAGCUUCUGCUUGUUCCCCCACCCCUUUAAUCAUCAGAUAUCCAAAAUCUAUUGACUUGGUCAAUUUGAAUUUGUGUGCCGACUAAGAGAGAUAAACCGCUAUAGCGAAACAUUAUUCAUUUUCACGACUCAGAGACCUUUGCUUCAAAGUGAAGAUAUCCUAAUGUUCCACUACUGCUCUCAUUGAUCCUCCACUGAUUAUUACAUCCAAGCUACUCUAUCAUAAUUUUUGUUAUUUUAUAUAACUGGAUUUUUUUUAAAAUCAUUUUAAACGGUUUUUGCCUCUUUGAUUAGGUGACAAAAUCAGGGGGUUGAUUGCGCAAAUAAUCAUCUAACUUAUACUCUUAGUUUUAUUUUGCAGUAAAGUCGUUAAAAGCAAAUAUUUUAACGUAAAUAUUUUAACUUAAAAAUCAUUGAACUUCAUCUAAUUUGUUCUGAGAAUGACUUUGGCCUGAAAUCCCACUGGACCAUAUGGCCUUUCAUGUCAGCCCACGUCAUAAUACCUCAGCAUCUCAAGACUUUCCACCUCAUAAAAACAAAAAUAAAAGAUCUAACUUAUAAUAAUCUCCAUGAACAAAAAAAGCUGAGCUGACAAAUGUGGAAAAAGGACCCGAAAAUGAAUUUGGGUUUGGGUUUGGGUUUCUGCCUCUCAUCAAAUCAUUCUCAGCUAAGUGCUUCAACUCGAACCCAAGGGUCCCAUCAUUGAGUUUCUCAGAUAUUACGCUGGAAUUGGACAAUAAGCAAGCUUCACGAUAUCUGUAUAUGUUCAUAGCCUCCGAAUUUCCCAUUUGCUAGAUGCUCCUCCAAAGCUCAAUGUUAACACUUGCUGCCUAAACGACCAAUUCUCGUGGCACUUGCCUAUGGCGUGCAGCGUUACAGGCCCUAAGGAUUUGGUGACACAGCCCCACUUAAACUUGUCACAAUAUCCUCACGUACCAACCAUGUGUUUUUGGCCUCGUUUCGCUUAGAAGGCUCGUCUCUUUUGAUAGUUUCUAAUGUAGAUCCUUUGGUAAAAGCAUGGAGCACCUAUUCAGGUGCGACAUCAAACCAACCAUGUUCUAACUUGCUUACUUCAAGACAUUCUGUCGCCCGGAACCUAUACUCAAGCAGAUAUUCAUCUAAAGGAAAUGUCUCUACUUGGGCAUAUACUCAUCUCAGUUCUCAUGUGGGAACUUCGCUUGGUGAAUGCUCAUUCCAAGCACUAUCACAAUUGUCAAUCUUAUGUUUGAACUUUGAUUUAGGAACCUUCCUAAGGUUCUUUAAUUUUUCUACUAUAAAUCUUUAUUUUUUGCCUGUAUACACCAAUGCUAUAUGGAUGGGGCAAGACUGUUGCAGCAUAGUCAGCAGUAUAUAUCUGAACAAGAAAAAUAAUACGAUGAAAAUUUAUAUGUCGACAUGAGGCAUAUUAACUGA